CCUUGUACACACCGCCCGUCACACCAUGGGAGUGGGUUGUACCAGAAGUAGGUAGAAUAACCGCAAGGGGUUCGCUUACCACGGUAUGGUUCAUGACUGGAGUG
This 104-nucleotide ribosomal RNA is filed under the name uncultured bacterium. RNAcentral describes it as "partial 16S ribosomal RNA". It matches the Rfam family "Bacterial small subunit ribosomal RNA", at positions 1379 to 1482 of the family's 1533-position model. The record is from RNAcentral.